Molecule: unclassified non-coding RNA, 2025 nt
Filed under: Portunus trituberculatus (swimming crab)
Lineage: Eukaryota; Metazoa; Arthropoda; Malacostraca; Decapoda; Portunidae
Description: alkaline ceramidase-like, transcript variant X13
Source: RNAcentral
AGGUGGUGUGUUGUGUGGACCAGUGGGGCCACACCCAUGCCUAUGGGAGUGUGUGGUGGUGGUGGUGGUGGUGGUGUGCGGUGUGUUUCUUUCUUUUUCUUUUCUCUUGAGUUGCCUCCUCCCGACCUUGGCCUGACCUUUCAGCCUUUGCUCCUCGGCACAGCCAGGUGAAGCACACCUUCAGUGGGAACCGGUCUCCCGAGGGUGUCACCAAGGCUCUCCAUCUCCAGCAGGACGUGGCGGGGGUCAAGAUGGCAGGCAAGCAAGGUUGUAUGUUUUCUCUUUUUCACUGUCUUUGUCUGGAGGCCAAGAGGGUUUGCACGUCCCCAUCCUACACGGCCUGUGGCAUCUGCUUAUCUUCGUCACUGCCUACGGGAUGCAGGUCCUUUUCUGCUACUUCCACGCAGCCCAGGACGUCCCCGAAUCCAGGCCAGUGAGGGGAGUCUUGGUCUGCCCUAUGUCUUCUGUCACUCAGCACGCCACGUCAAGAGCCCUUGAGUGUGUAGGCCCACGGAACCCACCCAAGAAGUGACGGGAACCUAACUCAGCCAGCCUGGGUGUCCAGGCUGGGUGUCCUGUGGGGUCUGAUGUAGCUUCCUCUGGCUGGCUUCCCCAAAGGUUCCUGUAGGACCCACUGUGGCGUGUGCUGGUGGGAGCAGUGCUACAGUGGAGGGAUGAGGCUGGAAAGCAGCAUGAGUGAGCAGCAGCAGCAGCAGCAGCAGCAGCAGUCUGCCUCAGGUGUGGUGAGGUCCAGGACUGGUGGCAAGAAUGACCUGGAGGCAAGCAGCUCCACCCACAGAGGAGAGAGAAAGUUUGAGUGUCAACAGUGUGAUAAAACUUUUACAUCCAGAGAAGGGCUUAGACUACACACUCUGAGGCACAGUGGUGUUAGAAAUUAUGAGUGUCUGGAAUGUGGAAAGAAAUUUGCUCAAAAGACUCAUCUCACCACACACACCCUGAGACAUAGUGGUGUUAGAAAGUAUGAGUGUCUGGAGUGUAGAAAGAAAUUUACGAUAAAGUCUGAUCUGAUCACACACACCCUCAUACACAGUGGUGUUAGAAAAUUUGAGUGUCUAGAAUGUGGAAAGAAAUUUAGCAAGAAGUCUCACCUCACCCCACACACCUUGAAACACAGAGAUGUGAGAAAUUAUGAGUGUCUGGAAUGUGGAAAGAAAUUCAUCACGAAGUAUGAUCUCACGAGACACACCCUGAGACACAGUGGUGUUAGAAAUCAUGAGUGUUUGGAAUGUGGAAAGAAACUUUUCACCAAGUCUGAACUCACCACACACACCCUGACACACAGUGGUGUUAGAAAUUAUGAGUGUCUGGAAUGUGGAAAGAAAUUCACCACAAAGAGUAGCCUCACCGCACACACCCUAACACACAGUGGUGUUAGAAAUUUUGAGUGUGAGGAGUGUGGCAAAAAAUUCCUUACCAUCGGUGCUCUCGACAGGCACGCCUUCAGACACACUGGCUUGAGGGAGUUCAAGUGUGAUGUUUGUGGCAAGUGUUUCAAGACUAAGGGUGACAUUGCCCGGCAUGUGAAGAUCCACUUUUGAGGUGGUGUGUUGUGUGGACCAGUGGGGCCACACCCAUGCCUAUGGGAGUGUGUGGUGGUGGUGGUGGUGGUGGUGUGCGGUGUGUUUCUUUCUUUUUCUUUUCUCUUGAGUUGCCUCCUCCCGACCUUGGCCUGACCUUCCAGCCUUUGCUCCUCGGCACAGCCAGGUGAAGCACGCCUUCAGUGGGAACUGGUGUCCCGAGGGUGUCACCAAGGCUCUCCAUCUCCAGCAGGACGUGGCUGGGGUCAAGAUGGCAGGCAAGCAAGGUGUUGGUGUGUGUUGGAUGCCUGUGUGACUCCAUGUUAUGCUGGCCUGCCACACCGCACAGCACCACCACACGCUGUCACAUGUAUGCUGGUGACUGGCACGCUGCAAUAGUGAGCUGGCUGUGUGUGGGAGGGAACCAUGAUUUUUAAUUUUGACAACCAUUGUAGCCUGUCUAGUGUUAAAUAAAAGGUUAAUUUGA